Molecule: RNA transcript, 5107 nt
Organism: Terrapene triunguis (Three-toed box turtle)
Lineage: Eukaryota; Metazoa; Chordata; Testudines; Emydidae
Gene: SEPTIN11
Gene name: septin 11
Exons: 11
Source: RefSeq, a predicted model, not a curated record
GCAGCAGCAGCCGGAGCCGGGCGGGCAGGGGCGGCGCAGCGCCGGGAUGGCCGUGGCGGUGGAGAGACCCGCGAAUGACGAGCUUCGAAACCUGUCCCUCUCCGGUCAUGUGGGCUUUGACAGUCUUCCAGAUCAGCUGGUCAACAAAUCAACCUCUCAAGGGUUCUGCUUCAACAUUCUUUGUGUUGGUGAAACUGGCAUUGGCAAGUCAACCUUAAUGGACACUCUGUUUAACACAAAGUUUGAAAGUGACCCAGCCACCCACAACGAGCCCGGUGUGAGGUUGAAAGCAAGAAGCUAUGAACUCCAGGAGAGCAACGUCCGUCUGAAGCUGACCAUUGUUGACACAGUUGGAUUUGGAGAUCAGAUUAAUAAAGAUGACAGCUAUAAGCCCAUAGUCGAAUAUAUCGACACUCAGUUUGAAGCCUAUCUGCAGGAGGAGCUGAAGAUCAAGCGUUCCCUGUUUAAUUACCAUGACACAAGGAUUCACGCCUGCCUAUAUUUCAUCGCACCAACGGGACACUCGCUGAAGUCUCUAGACCUGGUCACUAUGAAGAAGCUCGACAGUAAGGUUAACAUUAUCCCUAUAAUAGCCAAAGCUGAUACGAUUGCAAAAAACGAGUUGCAUAAAUUCAAGAGUAAAAUCAUGAGCGAGCUGGUCAGCAAUGGUGUCCAGAUCUAUCAGUUCCCGACAGAUGAAGAGACAGUGGCUGAGAUAAAUGCUACAAUGAGCGUCCAUCUUCCAUUUGCUGUUGUUGGCAGCACUGAAGAAGUGAAGAUUGGCAAUAAGACGAGCAAGGCCAGGCAGUAUCCAUGGGGGGUUGUGCAGGUUGAAAAUGAAAACCAUUGUGACUUUGUGAAGCUGCGUGAGAUGCUGAUCCGAGUGAACAUGGAGGACUUGAGAGAGCAGACGCACACCCGGCACUAUGAAUUGUACAGGCGCUGUAAGCUAGAAGAAAUGGGAUUCAAAGACACUGACCCUGAUAGUAAACCAUUCAGUCUCCAGGAAACCUAUGAAGCGAAGAGGAAUGAAUUCCUGGGUGAGCUGCAGAAGAAGGAGGAAGAAAUGAGACAGAUGUUCGUCAUGAGAGUGAAGGAGAAAGAAGCGGAGUUGAAAGAAGCGGAGAAAGAUCUCCAUGAAAAGUUUGACCAUCUCAAGCGGACACACCAAGAAGAGAAGAAAAAAGUGGACGACAAAAAGAAGGAGCUUGAGGAGGAGCUGAGCAACUUCCAGAAGAAGAAGGCAGCCGCUCAGCUGCUACAGUCACAGGCUCAACAGGCUGGUUCCCAACAAACCAAGAAAGACAAGGACAAGAAAAAUGCAAGCUUCACAUAAAGCCUGGCAAGCCAAGGAUGUUCCUGCAUUCACCUGCUUUUGCAGUAACGCGUCUCUUCCAUCUGUUUGGGUUUUGUUUUAAACACAAAUAACUAUUAACUCAUUUAAUAAUGGAGUGGGUGGGAGAAAGGUGGGUGAAGCAGUGAGCAUCUGGAAAUUGAAGGGCGGGGGGUGUUUUUGUUUGGAAAGUUGAUGCCAUUUCUCUCUGGUAAGAACAGCCACAAUAGAUCAGACCUGCCACUUGGCUUUGAAUUGAGAGCAAGACUUGUGCGUCAUUGGCUUGAUCCAAGGCCACUUAAAGAGAUUGGAAGGGUUUUGCUGCUGUUACUCGUUUGCACACACUGCUCUCAACAGGCCACACUGAGAGUCCCCUUACUCGCACUGAAUAGCACAAGUACUGCCAUGGAAAUCUGAAGUGAGUUACUAUUCAGUGUGAAUAAGAUCAGUGCAAACUUAGCCAGAGUCUCCCCAGUGUAUUGCUAACCCCAGACGUCCACUUAAAUGAGUGUUUCUUUGAUAGCUGACUUGUAAGACUGUAGAAAUCCCAUUGUUAGGUUUUUGUGUGUGUAGGUAACAAAAGAGCAACUGACCUUGCAUGCUUAUUCUUGCAUGAGUUUUUUACCUUAUGGAUAAUGACUUUUGGCCUGGCUUUUUGUUAUUCACCCAACGGGUUAAAUAUUUUUGCAAUAACUCUUCUCUAUUAAGUGCUGUGGCUAACCACUAAAAGCUGUACAGUGUGCAUCAAAAGGAGCUGCAAAUUCCCAAGACAGGAGGUUUUCCCCCCUCUAUUGCUUUGAAAUCAAGAGUCCCUCAUCAAAAACUAACCAGGUGACCGAAACCCAUCCCAAAACUUGAAUACACUUUCCACAGAUUGCCUGGGUAAAAGAGUCAUCCAGCAAACGCAUAAGUACAAGCGUAACUUUACUCAUGCAAUAUAGUUCAGUUGACUUUAGUAGAAGUCCUUAUGGGAGUAAAUGUUUGCACAUGCUUAUGUGGUUGCAGGAUCAGUCUUGGAAUAUAGUGUCUUCUGUUGGUAAGUGCCAGUGAACCAUUAAAGGAGUAAAUUAAAACUCCAUUAACUUCAGUUACUCUGUGCUCCUAAAGUGGAGAAUAUGGCUGUUCACUCUUUACCGGGCUAAGAUGUAGCUUAUCUUGCUUGACAAAGGCAUAAUAAAGGUAACAUCAAUGCACUGAUCAGCUUUGCGCAGCCGGCUAAGGCUUGGGAUGCAAACAAUAAUUUGCAUUUAAAAACGGUGACUGAACAUCUAGCAUAAGCCAGGCCUUUUUUUAGGGCGUACUUGGUGUGAAAAUUGACCUAACUGUUUAAUUUGUAUUUUCUAUGCCAUUCCUUUUCGGACAGAGUGUUUUCCUUUCUGAUACAUUCCAAGAAGUGGCGACCCAUGUUUACCCUCUGACUUCUGGAUUUCUUUCUCUACUGCUGAUGUUCUGCCAGCUUCCCCUCUGCUCCUAGCUAGGUAGUCUCCUGUUUCUUUCUUUAAAGCACUCUUGAAAUUAACCCUCUUCACCUGAUCCCACACAUUCCAACUUUGCUUGUUUCUACCCAAGCACAGGGGUCAUGUAACUACAUUCACAAAGGCAGGUUUGUGGGGGGUUGUUUUGUGUUCUUCCCCCCCCCCCCGGCGUAAACAUGGCUCUUAGGGGAGGGGAAAGGGUGGCUGGACAAACUGCAUAAAUUUAAGCAGAGGAAAAGCAGGGAAGAAACUAUUUUGAAAUUCAAGCUAAGUUGUCAUGUGAACAUCACAAUCAUUGGAAGGACUGACAGUUGCAGUAGCCAGGUUAAAUAGCAGUAAAAAUCCGAGAUCCUUGCAGUUUUGCUUCAGCUUAACCUUACAAACUCACUUGGUAUUGAACACAUGAAACCAGUUUCCUAACCAUGGGCUGCAUUUGAUCAUGCACUAUGCUCAAGUUUGAAGCUUGUGUAGCGUGCUUCCAUCAGCUGUGUCUGUGUGUGUCCUAUUUUUAAUUAACACGGGGGGGGGGGGGGUUGUGCCAAGUAAGAGAACUUAAUUUUAACAUUAGUUUCUCCUGCUCAGUUUAAAAACCCUUUCAAGGGAAGCUUGGCAGAGAAAAUUAGUUGAGACUAGGUGUUUUUAUUUUGGACACAAAGCUGUUGCCAAUGUAUUAAAUGCUGGGGGGAGGGAUUGGUUUGUUUCCCUUUUUAGCAAAGAACCAUCGUUUUGGAGAAGCCGGGAAUAAAAUUUAAACUUACAAAUUUUUUUUUUUUUUUCCCAAUGGCGCACUAAGAUUUAAGAAUCCCUGGGCCAUGUUUAGCUUGUUACUGCUGCACUUCUCUCCUUUCUGUAUCUAUGCCUUUUUUCACAGUAGUCCCUGGCUCUGCACGGAAUAAGUGAUCCCCUCAAAUCUAGUUGGAUGUGCUUUCUUUCACCUUUGCAUCUUCUUCUUUAUGUAACGGUCACCUUGCCAAGCCCCCACUCCCUUUCUCCUAAUGGGCACUAGAAGAGCCAGCGGGAAAUGUACGCACCCGUUGGGAGAAGAGUUACCUCAUUCUUCUAUGAGCUCCGCCUUGCUCUUUAAAGCGUGGGUCAGGGAAGUACGUAGCUGUAAGGGUCUGUUUGCUCCCCAGGGCUGACCAGUAUGUCAACUCCAGGAUUUUUGUUACCACCAAGAGAGAGAGAAUAAGUGGACUAGAGAACUUGGAUGCUAUCACAGAUAUGACAUUGGGAACUUUUUUCUUUUGCCAUCACCUGCACACGGCUGUCAAUUAAAUAAGAAGCUUAUUGACCACGGACAGAAUGAGUGUCCAAUAAUAAGCGAUGAUUGCUGAGUAGUAGACUUAAGCUAGCACCAACUCUAACCCUCUCUGACAAACCACCUGAUCUGGCUACUCUGAAAGCCGUGCAGUCAUGAGGCGUAUGCUCCUGUGCAUUUUAAACCACUUAUUAAAAACAGUUCCUUGGACAGGGAUCACUAUUUUUCAGUAUUAAGUGGCAUGAGCAGAGAGAGCUGCUAUUUGAUACUGUUGUGUUGAUGGAAUUUGUUCAGUUGUUUUCAGCUGAUCUUCUGCCUCUUCAUGUGCAAAAUGGGAUCUUUUACUAUGAAGUCCAGCCACACAGAUCGCUGUCUGAGGAGAAGACUAUUUUUAACUAUGUGACGCCCAUCCAGUAAUGUUUACAUCCUUGAUGUUGUCUUGCUGUGGGACAUGUGUAUAACUUUCACUUGUUUACUUCAGAAGCAGAUUCAACAGCGAAGAGCUUGAAAAGUGCCAAAAACUUGCUAAAAACAAAGUAAGCUUGUAACGUAUUUUACACAUGCAAGUCGAGUGCCCUCUAGUGUCAGUGGGCUCUGUUCAUUAUGAUCCUCAUUUUAGGUGUAUUGGGGGGGAGUUUUUCUAAUUACUUGCUGCCCAGCAGUGGAUGUUCAUUGCUCCUGACCACACCUCAUUUCAGUGUGGAGUGACAAAGGGAAUGCAGAGUAUUUUAUGUUGCCUCCUUUCUUGUUUACAGAAUAAAAGGCACCAUCGUUCCCAAACUUGCUUACAUGCUUUUUCAGACUCCUGCUGCUGGAGAGAGGGCUGGGCUUAGAGUGACAAAACAACCAUUUCUUCAAUCUGAUUAAGUGGAUUUGUGCUUAUACGUCAAGGAAAUAUUUAGAUCAGCCUUACAAAAUUAUGUUUACCAUUUCUGGUAUUCAAUUUAAUUGGGUGAACUGUACUCUCCUCCUGAAGGAGUGGGAGAAGAAUUUUGCAAUAGUCAAAGAUAGGGAGAAAACUUGAGUAUGGCGUUAAGGCCC